RNAcentral lists this small RNA (27 nucleotides) under Bombyx mori (domestic silkworm). Its description in RNAcentral is "ovarian small RNA-24056". The record is from RNAcentral. Lineage: Eukaryota; Metazoa; Arthropoda; Insecta; Lepidoptera; Bombycidae.
UAUGUUCUUGGCGUCAGAGCCAAAUGA